Molecule: ribosomal RNA, 1178 nt
Filed under: uncultured bacterium
Lineage: Bacteria
Description: bacterial SSU rRNA
Rfam family: Bacterial small subunit ribosomal RNA
Source: RNAcentral
AGAGUUUGAUCCUGGCUCAGAACGAACGCUGGCGGCGUGGCUAAGACAUGCAAGUCGAACGGACUAUUCAAUUGAGUAAUCGAGAGAAUAGUUAGUGGCGAAAGGGUGAGUAAUGGAUAGGUAAUGUACCCUGGGCUUCGGAAUAGCGUCGUUCGCCUUCGGGCGAACUACCGAAAGGGGCGGUAAUACCGAAUAAUAUCAAAGGUCGAUGGGCUUUUGAUCAAAGAUUUUAUCGGCGCGGGAGCGGCCUAUCUCCUAUCAGCUUGUUGGUGGGGUAAUAGCUCACCAAGGCUGCGACGGGUAGCGGGACUGAGAGGUUGGCCCGCCACAUCGGGACUGACACACUGCCCGGACCUCCACGGAGGGCUGCAGUAACGAAUAUUGCGCAAUGGGCGAAAGCCUGACGCAGCGACGCCGCGUGCGGGAGGAAGUCUUUCGGGAUGUAAACCGCUGUCAGGGCUGUGAAAGUCCACUCCGGUGGAUUGAUCUGGCCCAAAGGAAGUCACGGCUAACUUCGUGCCAGCAGCCGCGGUAAGACGAAGGUGGCGAGCGUUGUUCGGUGUCACUGGGCUUAAAGCGUGUGCAGGCGGAAAAGUAAGCGUCCUGUGAAAGCCCUCGGCUUAACCGAGGAACUGCUUGACGUACUGCUUUUCUUGAGGCAAGUAGGGGUGCGCGGAACUCUUGGUGGAGCGGUGGAAUGCGUAGAUAUCAAGAGGAACGCCGGUGGUGAAGACGGUGCACUGGGCUUGUCCUGACGCUGAGACACGAAAGCGUGGGGAGCGAACGGGAUUAGAUACCCCGGUAGUCCACGCUGUAAACGAUGUCUACUAGUUGUGGGGGUUCUGACGCCGUCACGGCCGAAGCAAAAGUGGUAAGUAGACCGCCUGGGGAGUACGGCCGCAAGGCUAAAACUCAAAGGAAUUGACGGGGGCUCACACAAGCGGUGGAGCAUGUGAUUAUUCGGAGCACCCCGCAGACCUUACCUGGGUUUGACAUGCUUGUAUGCUGCUGGGAAACCGGGUUAGCUGCCCUCGGGGUGAACUUGCAAGUGCUGCAUGCUGUCGUCAGCUCGUGUUGUGAAUGUUCGAUAGUUCCUACGACGAAAUCUGCGUAGUGCAGCGGUCAAGCCGGAACUUACGACUGCGGUUAACGGAGAAAGUGUGGAUGACGUCAAGUCA